RNAcentral lists this ribosomal RNA (369 nucleotides) under uncultured bacterium. Its description in RNAcentral is "bacterial SSU rRNA". It matches the Rfam family "Bacterial small subunit ribosomal RNA", at positions 527 to 898 of the family's 1533-position model. The record is from RNAcentral.
GGAGGGUGCAAGCGUUAUCCGGAUUCACUGGGUUUAAAGGGUGCGUAGGUGGGUUGGUAAGUCAGUGGUGAAAUCUCCAGGCUUAACUUGGAAACUGCCAUUGAUACUAUCAAUCUUGAAUACCGUGGAGGUCAGCGGAAUAUGUCAUGUAGCGGUGAAAUGCUUAGAUAUGACAUAGAACACCAAUUGCGAAGGCAGCUGGUUACACGAAUAUUGACACUGAUGCACGAAAGCGUGGGGAUCAAACAGGAUUAGAUACCCUGGUAGUCCACGCCCUAAACGAUGGAUACUCGACAUACGCGAUAUACUGUGUGUGUCUGAGCGAAAGCAUUAAGUAUCCCACCUGGGAAGUACGAUCGCAAGAUUGAA